This is a non-coding RNA of Punica granatum (pomegranate), 771 nucleotides long. Lineage: Eukaryota; Viridiplantae; Streptophyta; Magnoliopsida; Myrtales; Lythraceae. The record is from RefSeq and is a predicted model, not a curated record.
UCAAUAAAGCGUUUUCCAUUGAGGAGAGGAGAGCAGAAAACGCGGUAGUCUCUGUUACCGUCUCUCGAGCUCCCAAUUGCCCCUUUUGUCUGCUGGGGUUGUCUGAAGAUUUUUUCCUUCCUGCAUUUUCCGAUGGGUUUGGAGUGGAAUUGCUUCCUUUGCAGGAAGAUUUUGGCGGAGGAAAGCGCUUCUUUUGACCCUUCAAUCCGUCUCUCCGGUGAAAUCGGCUUCUAGGUUACUCGAUUGUUAAGUUGGAAGUUGGGCUCUUUGCUAAUUUGAGCCCGGUUGGUGUCUUGCUGCAGGGCAAAGUAAAAAUUAUAAUGAGGACUUCCUAAUGAGGUAGCUAGAAGCUUUUGCUUUUCAAAUUUUGAAUUGUUUUUGUUCUUGGUCGUAUGGGAAUGGCUUAUUAGCAGCAAGAAGAAGAAUGAUUCUCAGGACUCAAGCGUAGUGUCACGUUUAGAGAUUGACAACAAUACAAUCAACCUGGGCGAUUGACCAUCAUCAUUGAGAAGAGGGUGGUCGGCCGGAGUGGAAUGCGAGAGAGGAGGAGAUGGCAGCGAUAAUGCUUUGGUUGACAGGAACGACGUUGCGUUGGAAUGGAGAUGACAAGGGGUAAAUUGAAAGUCGGAUAGAAAGAUGUCAGACCAGUUGAAUUAUUUUAGGGUUAUGAUAUUACUCCAUAUAUGAUAAUACUUGAAUCAAAUUUGUGAGCUGAUUCAGUUAGAGGUAUGGUUUAAUUAAUGCAGCCGGUUCCACGGGUGGUUUAUUAUA